This 425-nucleotide ribosomal RNA is filed under the name uncultured bacterium. RNAcentral's name for it is "bacterial SSU rRNA". It matches the Rfam family "Bacterial small subunit ribosomal RNA", at positions 354 to 796 of the family's 1533-position model. The record is from RNAcentral.
GUGGGGAAUAUUGGACAAUGGGCGCAAGCCUGAUCCAGCCAUGCCGCGUGAGUGAUGAAGGCCUUAGGGUUGUAAAGCUCUUUCAGUGGGGACGAUAAUGACGGUACCCACAGAAGAAGCCCCGGCUAACUUCGUGCCAGCAGCCGCGGUAAUACGAAGGGGGCUAGCGUUGUUCGGAUUUACUGGGCGUAAAGCGCACGUAGGCGGAUCGUUAAGUCGGGGGUGAAAUCCUGGAGCUCAACUCCAGAACUGCCUUCGAUACUGGCGCUCUUGAGUCCGGAAGAGGUGAGUGGAACUCCGAGUGUAGAGGUGAGAUUCGUAGAUAUUCGGAAGAACACCAGUGGCGAAGGCGACUCACUGGCCCGUUACUGACGCUGAGGCGCGAAAGCGUGGGGAGCAAACAGGAUUAGAAACCCUAGUAGUCC